GAUGAACGCUGGCGGCGUGCUUAACACAUGCAAGUCGAGCGAAAAGACGAGGAGUUUGCUCCACUGACGUUAGAGGCGGGAGGGUGAGUAACACGUGGAUAACCUAACUAUAUGACUGGGAUAACUUAGGGAAACUGGAGCUAAUAACGGAUAAUAUAUUGAACCGCAUGGUUCAAUAGUGAAAGACGGUUUUGCUGUCACUUAUAGAUGGUUCUGGGCUGGAUUAGCUAGUUGGUAAGGAAACGGCUUACGAAGGCAGCGAUGCGUAGGCGACCUGGGGGAGGGUUGUACCACACCGGAGGUGGAACACGGUCCUGGGGCCUACGAGAGGCAGCAGUAGGUAAUGUGCCGCGAAGGGGGAGAGCUUGACGGAGCAGCGCCGCGUGAGUGAUGAAGAUCUUCGGUGCGUAAGACGCUGUUUUUGGGGUAGAACAAUUUUGUAAGUAACUAAGCACUUCGUGACGGUACCUGAUCAAGAAGCCACGGCUAACUACGUG
RNAcentral lists this ribosomal RNA (497 nucleotides) under uncultured bacterium. RNAcentral describes it as "partial 16S ribosomal RNA". It matches the Rfam family "Bacterial small subunit ribosomal RNA", at positions 28 to 507 of the family's 1533-position model. The record is from RNAcentral.